This 272-nucleotide long non-coding RNA is filed under the name Citrus maxima (pomelo). RNAcentral's name for it is "long non-coding RNA (CMAX_LNC004435)". Lineage: Eukaryota; Viridiplantae; Streptophyta; Magnoliopsida; Sapindales; Rutaceae. The record is from RNAcentral.
AAAACAGAGAAAAUGAAAAAGGAAACUUCACGAUUUUAUUAACCAGAAUAUUCAAUGCUUAUUAAGCUUACUUAGCUAAGCUUAUAUACAAUUAUUCUAACUAAUUAAACAACUGCAAAACAACUAAUAACAACUUCAGAUUUAGUUUAGCCAUUGAGCUCUUGCCACAUGUCAUUCAGUUACAUUCAAUCUUGUCCAGCUCAGCAGCUCUGUCCAGCUCAGCAGCAACUAUAUCUUCAACAUCCCCCCUCAAGCUCAACCGAGGAAGUAAG